UACCAGCACCCCGAGUGGUCGGGACGAUUAUUGGGCCUAAAGCAUCCGUAGCCGGUUUUACAAGUCCUCUGUUAAAUCCAGCUGCUUAACAGAUGGGCUGCGGAGGAUACUAUAAGACUAGGAGGCAGGAGAGGCAAGCGGUACUCAGUGGGUAGGGGUAAAAUCCGUUGAUCCAUUGAAGACCACCAGUGGCGAAGGCGGCUUGCCAGAAUGCGCUCGACGGUGAGGGAUGAAAGCUGGGGGAGCAAACGGG
Molecule: ribosomal RNA, 253 nt
Filed under: uncultured bacterium
Lineage: Bacteria
Description: partial 16S ribosomal RNA
Rfam family: Archaeal small subunit ribosomal RNA
Source: RNAcentral